UCGAUGAAGAACGCAGCGAAAUGCGAUAAGUAAUGUGAAUUGCAGAAUUCAGUGAAUCAUCGAAUCUUUGAACGCACCUUGCGCUCCUUGGUAUUCCGAGGAGCAUGCCUGUUUGAGUGUCAUUAAAUUAUCAACCUCUUCUUUAGAGGCUUGGAUUUGGAGUGUUGCUGGCUCAUUGUUGGCUCCUCUUAAAUGCAUCAAGCUUGUUGUAGGCUUUGGUUUGAUAAUAUCUAUGCCAUCGCUGUAAUGCAAAACAAACAAACAACCUUUGAAAUUGACCUCAAAUCAGGUAGGACUACCCGCUGAACUUAA
This 312-nucleotide ribosomal RNA is filed under the name uncultured Hygrophorus. RNAcentral describes it as "eukaryotic LSU rRNA". The stretch from base 1 to 122 matches the Rfam family "5.8S ribosomal RNA", at positions 33 to 154 of the family's 154-position model. The record is from RNAcentral. Lineage: Eukaryota; Fungi; Basidiomycota; Agaricomycetes; Agaricales; Hygrophoraceae.